Molecule: unclassified non-coding RNA, 976 nt
Filed under: uncultured fungus
Lineage: Eukaryota; Fungi
Description: sequence contains 18S rRNA gene, ITS1, 5.8S rRNA gene, ITS2, 28S rRNA gene
Source: RNAcentral
ACGACGCCGGCAUCGACGCCGAUCACUUCGAUCGCCCCGCCGUCGAGAUCGAGCGCCGGUCCGAUUUCGUCGGCAAGGACAUGCUCGACGCGCUCCUUGAGUUCGGCAGAGGACAUGGGGUGCUACUUUCUAUUCGCGUGCAUCGCCUCUUCGCAGUCCUGCCGCAACUGUUCAACCAGAUCCCCGGCCCCGGCGAACGUCCGCGUAUCGCGCAGCCGGGCGACAAAUUCCAGCGCCACCACUUGACCAUACAGGUCACCAGUGAAGCCGAUCAAGUGCGCUUCGACUUUGCGGGCCUGUUCGCCGAAGGUCGGGUUGUGACCGACAUUCGCGGCGGCUGGCCAAUCGGUGCCAUCCGCCAACCGUGCCCGGACGGCAUACACGCCGUCGCCUGGCACGAGCGUCAGCGGACAUUCAAGGUUGGCUGUCGGAAAACCGAGCGUCCGCCCGCGUUUCUGGCCCACCCCGACCGAGCCGCGCAUUCGAUACGGCCGGCCCAGCAAAUGGGUGGCUGCCGACACAUCCCCUGCCAAAAGGGCGUCGCGCACCCGGCUGCUCGACACAGUGGCGCCGUCCAGCUGAAAUGGCGGGACGACCGUGAACUGCGCGUUGCAACGCCGGCACCAGUCCUCGAUUGUCUCGUUCGAUCCUUCGCGGCCACGGCCGAAGCGGAAGUUGAAACCUUCGACGACUGCACGCACGCCGAGCCGAUCGCCGAACACGGAGUCGAGAAAUGCGCGAGGGUCCAGGGCGAGCAAUUCCGGAGUCGUCCGCAGGAUCACCACAUCGUCGGCGCCAGCGCUACGCAGCAGCUCCGCACGAUCGGCCGGCGUCGUCAGCAGCGGCAGCAAUCGUUCGGGCGCUAGAAGCGCGAUCGGGUGUGGAUCGAACGUGACGGCGACGGCCGGCCCGUUCACAUGUCGCGCCGAUCGUCGCAACUCCGAGAUCAGCGCCGCAUGUCCGCGAUGCACGCCGU